RNAcentral lists this ribosomal RNA (457 nucleotides) under Cominella nassoides. Its description in RNAcentral is "partial 16S large subunit ribosomal RNA". It matches the Rfam family "Bacterial large subunit ribosomal RNA", at positions 1851 to 2565 of the family's 2925-position model. Lineage: Eukaryota; Metazoa; Mollusca; Gastropoda; Neogastropoda; Buccinidae. The record is from RNAcentral.
AGUCGGACCUGCCCAGUGAAAUUUUUUAACGGCCGCGGUACUCUGACCGUGCAAAGGUAGCAUAAUCAUUUGCCUUAUAAUUGAAGGCUAGUAUGAAUGGUUUGACAAGAAUAUAGCUGUCUCUUUCUGGCUAAAUAGAAUUUUAUUUAGAGGUGAAGAAGCCUCUAUCAAAUUAAAAGACAAGAAGACCCUAUCGAGCUUUAAAAAAGUUAAUAGAUGNGAAUAAUUUAUANUAUUUAAAAAAUUAACUAUUAAAAAUUUUAGUUGGGGCGACUGAGGAACAAAAAAAGCUUCCUUUAUNAGUAUAANAACCACACGAGUAUUGAUCCAGAAUAUUUUGAUUAAAGGAAUUAGUUACCGUAGGGAUAACAGCAUUAUCUUUUUUAAGAGUUCUUAUCGAAAAGAAGGUUUGUGACCUCGAUGUUGGACCAGAAUAUCCUAAAGAUGCAGUAGUCUU